RNAcentral lists this ribosomal RNA (433 nucleotides) under uncultured bacterium. RNAcentral's name for it is "partial 16S ribosomal RNA". It matches the Rfam family "Bacterial small subunit ribosomal RNA", at positions 29 to 507 of the family's 1533-position model. The record is from RNAcentral.
AACGAACGCUGGCGGCAUGCCUAACACAUGCAAGUCGAACGAGACCUUCGGGUCUAGUGGCGCACGGGUGCGUAACGCGUGGGAACCUGCCCUUAGGUUCGGCCUAACUCCCCGACAGGGGUGCUAAUACCGGAUCAUGUCUUCGGACCAAAGAUUUAUCGCCUUUGGAUGGGCCCGCGUUGGAUUAGCUAGUUGGUAGGGUAAAAGCCUACCAAGGCGACGAUCCAUAGCUGGUCUGAGAGGAUGAUCAGCCACACUGGGACUGAGACACGGCCCAGACUCCUACGGGAGGCAGCAGUGGGGAAUAUUGGACAAUGGGCGAAAGACUGAACCAGCAAUGCCGCGUGAGUGAUGAAGGCCUUAGGGUUGUAAAGCUCUUUUACCCGGGAUGAUAAUGACAGUACCGGGAGAAUAAGCUCCGGCUAACUCCGUG